This is a non-coding RNA of Rana temporaria (common frog), 263 nucleotides long. RefSeq annotates it as small Cajal body-specific RNA 6. The transcript has a single exon. Lineage: Eukaryota; Metazoa; Chordata; Amphibia; Anura; Ranidae. The record is from RefSeq and is a predicted model, not a curated record.
GGUCUAUGAUGAACUGUAAAAGGUCUGAUUGCACUUCUGUCACCCUGCAGCCAGUACACUCCCAGCAGUCCCUGUUUACUUAUCAGGCUCAAGUUAUGCCUUGCUUAGUUUCCAGGAAAUGCUGACACUUUUGGACAGCUUGCUUUAUGUAUCUCUUAGAUUUGCAAUGCAUAACGGCAAGAGCUUUCCAACAUAAAUGUGAAAUAUGGAGUUUGGUGAACGGGAACAGGACAUGCAUGAUCUAAAAUAUUUAUUCUGAGACC